AAAGAUUAUAGGCAAGGAUUAGAGCAAUACUGAUAAUGCAGGUGUUCAACUUUUUAUUCGUUUUCAACUCAAACGUAAAAACCAACUGUCAAUUUCAUGUACCUUAAAAGUUAUUAUAGAUCUUAUGUCAGUGCUGAUGUAUGCUGAUUCGUAUGGCUGAUCUCACUUUAGGACCGACCACAUACUCUAUGUACGUCAGAUCUUCCUACUUGUGUGGUGUGUCAACAAUUUGGGAUUGGUCCCUAAGGAAAUAAGAUUCUAUGUCCCUCUGGUGAUAUAAUUGAGUGUCGGAAUGUACCCUAUUCUAUAGUUGCUGAAUGAUAUACAGUUUGUUUUUUUUUCAUUUUCACGUUUUUAAUUAUUAGUACACAUAUUCAUUUGUUGAUUUUUUUUUCUUGCUACUUCUUUUGAUAUCAUAUAUGGUAUAAUAUCAAAUUUUAGUUUUUUAUUUUUAUUUUUGAUAGAAAUUUUGAAUAAUCUAUAUUAUAUGUGAUGAAAUAGAAUUUUUUUUAAUGGUGUCGUGACAAUUACUAAGCGAAUAUAACAUCUAUCAUAUACUCAAGCAUACAAAGAUGUAUUGUAACAACCAACCUUUAGUUUGGAUUUUGGGUAAAAAUUUGUGUUCCACGUGAGAUUGGCACAUUUAUUGAACCUAGAAAGGAAUUCUUAUAUUGAUCAAAGAGUAAUAUAAGGAUUUUAAAUCAUAAUUCACUACGUAACUUAACUUAAAUAACCCCUUAUUAAAAAAAAAUUCAUUUGCACCAAAACGUAAACCUCAAAGCCAUAUUUGAUUGCAUCCAAACAUCAAAAAUGGAGAAUCUACCGUAAUAAGGAGUAUAGUCUGAAACAUAAAAUUUAAAGAAGGCAAAGUCUAAAAUGAAAACUAUGAAGCAGGAAAUGACUUAAGAUAUAUUAGUCACUCUUAGCACGUUUAGUUUCCUGUGAUUCAAGACAGCUAGAAGCAUUUCUAAUCCUCUCAUCUGCUGGAUCUUCAAUGGCGUUUUGUGGAGCUGGUGCUGGGAGUACCUUUGUGACAGUGAUGGUUUGAGUCUUGCCAGUGAGGUUAUGCUGAGAGACUUUGACAACAAACUUGUGUGUCUGUCCAAUGGUAUCCAUGAGAGUUUGUUGAACCGGGACAGUUUGAUCAGCUCCCACGUCCUCGUUUAACUGACAUUCAAGUAAAGCACUUGUGUGAGAACAUAGACUGAGCUGGUGGAUAAAAAUGUUUGAAAUUACCUCAAAGUAUCUUGCAACUAACUCUGAAACAUGCUUGCCGGUCAACUCACGACCAACAUCACCAAGAAGGACAAACACCGCCUGCUCACUCUUGUCAUAAACAGAGAUCUUAGUUAAGUACCUGCCAAGAAAGAAAAUUAGUAAAGAUUGAUGAUAAUAGAUGGAUGUAAUGAAGCUAACAACUCUUACUGUGGAACUCCCACGACCUCAGAUUUGGCACACUUUUUGUUCGUACAAACCAGUGAGGUAGGCCCUUUGGUUGCCUUUGUGUUACACCCACCACAAGAAAUAUAAUACCAUGGGGAACCAUGGAGUACAUCAUCGAUAGUGGCUGUACACUCAAAGCCUUCUGGUGUCAUUCCUCUUCAUAACCAUCCAGGGAUGACAGUUUUUAGCAAGCUUCUCUUUGGUACAAUGCACAUCAAGUCGUAUGAUUGGGUGGUUGAUGCUCCAUGUAAGCUUACUUGCAUUUCAAGAAAAAUUAUAAGCUAUAAAACCUUUUGGUUAUUAGUAUCUUACAAUAAGUCUUUGGUAGGGUUCUUAGAUGUUCUAACGUAGUCACUUUUAACUAUUUAUCUCAAAGAUAUAAUCCCAGUUUAGUAAAAGAUUAUAGGCAAGGAUUAGAGCAAUACUGAUAAUGCAGGUGUUCAACUUUUUAUUCGUUUUCAACUCAAACGUAAAAACCAACUGUCAAUUUCAUGUACCUUAAAAGUUAUUAUAGAUCUUAUGUCAGUGCUGAUGUAUGCUGAUUCGUAUGGCUGAUCUCACUUUAGGACCGACCACAUACUCUAUGUACGUCAGAUCUUCCUACUUGUGUGGUGUGUCAAC
RNAcentral lists this long non-coding RNA (2064 nucleotides) under Brassica napus (rape). RNAcentral's name for it is "long non-coding RNA (BNAP_LNC025890)". Lineage: Eukaryota; Viridiplantae; Streptophyta; Magnoliopsida; Brassicales; Brassicaceae. The record is from RNAcentral.